Long non-coding RNA from Neodiprion fabricii, 985 nucleotides. RefSeq lists it as uncharacterized. The record is from RefSeq and is a predicted model, not a curated record. Lineage: Eukaryota; Metazoa; Arthropoda; Insecta; Hymenoptera; Diprionidae. The transcript has 4 exons.
GAGGAAAGCCCGAGCCAGCCAUCCGCCCAUCCAGCCAGCCACCUAAACCAAGAUACUACUAGCUGGUUGGUGGCGCGGAGUAGGCAGAGGCACAGAGCCAGCCCCGAGGAUCGAUACGUGGUCGAGAGAAGGUUACCUCACUACGCUUAGGUCCUCGGAACUACGGCGUGAUACGACCUACCCGCCAACCAGCCAGCUACCCUGGAGUUGCGUGCCUGUAUUUUCCUACUUCAAUUAACGAGGAAUAAUUUGUAGACGGGUCGGAGGAAUUAGAUGCGCUGCAAAUUUGCCCGCGUAUCACAGAGAGAUCCAUGCGAGCUGAAUUGAUAACAUCGAUCACUUUUGAAACGCCUCCUUUCUUAAUCUGGCGCAAAUGUAAAAGUUUCAAGUUCUACACGUUUGCCGAAGAAAAUUAAGAAAAAUAAAUAUCACCGAGAGGCCACACCAACUCGGCAGGCUCAGCCCGCGGAGUUACUAAUAAAAUUAACACUUCCCCGGUGGAAAUCAGCCAUCAAACCCAACCAAAGUUCAACGUUUCACUCUUCUUUGACUCUGGCCCAGGCAAGCAAGGUCAAGACGACAAUUGCAACUCCAAAGGCUUUGUGAAUCCAGAAUGGAAAGAAACUUAAAUUAAAGUGGUUUUAGUAGUGCAGUUUAAUGAUGUGAAUUUUGAUAAAUACCAUCAGUUGUCAUAGCAAUAAGAGAACAUUAGCAAUAGUAGUAUGUAAUGAUUUUUUUGUACAACAAGUUUUACGAAUAGCAAGACUAAUUGAUAUAAAAUUAAUAGAAAAUAAAACCUAAGAUAAGUGUAUUUAUUAUCAAAGUACCUAUUGAUAAAUUGUAAAUGCAAAACUUAUAACUUCCCUUUAUUGUAUUUCUCCUACGCUUAUGAUAUAGUUAUUACAUAGUUAUUCAUAGUAAAGAUACAUGGUACAUUAUAUUAAUAGAAAAUGCUUAAGGAUAACUUUUUCACUUUUGUGAAAAG